This 451-nucleotide ribosomal RNA is filed under the name uncultured bacterium. Its description in RNAcentral is "partial 16S ribosomal RNA". It matches the Rfam family "Bacterial small subunit ribosomal RNA", at positions 29 to 523 of the family's 1533-position model. The record is from RNAcentral.
AGCGAACGCUGGCGGCAGGCCUAACACAUGCAAGUCGAACGGGCACCUUCGGGUGUCAGUGGCAGACGGGUGAGUAACACGUGGGAACGUGCCCUUUGGUUCGGGACAACUCCGGGAAACUGGAGCUAAUACCGGAUACGCCCUUUUGGGGAAAGAUUUAUCGCCAAAGGAUCGGCCCGCGUCUGAUUAGCUAGUUGGUGAGGUAACGGCUCACCAAGGCGACGAUCAGUAGCUGGUCUGAGAGGAUGAUCAGCCACACUGGGACUGAGACGCGGCCCAGCCUCCUACGGGAGGCAGCAGUGGGGAAUAUUGGACAAUGGGCGCAAGACUGAUCCAGCCAUGCCGCGUGAGUGGUGAAGGCCCUAGGGUUGUAAAGCUCUUUUGUCCGGGAUGAUAAUGACAGUACCGGGAGAAUAAGCCCCGGCUAACUCCGUGCCAGCCGCCGCAGUAA